AGAGUUUUAAAUUCUGGCUCAGGAUGAACGCUGGCGGCGUGCUUAACACAUGCAAGUCGAACGGUGAAGCCAAGCUUGCUUGGUGGAUCAGUGGCGAACGGGUGAGUAACACGUGAGCAACCUGCCCUGGACUCUGGGAUAAGCGCUGGAAACGGUGUCUAAUACUGGAUAUGAGCUCUCAUCGCAUGGUGGGGGUUGGAAAGAUUUUUCGGUCUGGGAUGGGCUCGCGGCCUAUCAGCUUGUUGGUGAGGUAAUGGCUCACCAAGGCGUCGACGGGUAGCCGGCCUGAGAGGGUGACCGGCCACACUGGGACUGAGACACGGCCCAGACUCCUACGGGAGGCAGCAGUGGGGAAUAUUGCACAAUGGGCGGAAGCCUGAUGCAGCAACGCCGCGUGAGGGAUGACGGCCUUCGGGUUGUAAACCUCUUUUAGCAGGGAAGAAGCGAGAGUGACGGUACCUGCAGAAAAAGCGCCGGCUAACUACGUGCCAGCAGCCGCGGUAAUACGUAGGGCGCAAGCGUUAUCCGGAAUUAUUGGGCGUAAAGAGCUCGUAGGCGGUUUGUCGCGUCUGCUGUGAAAUCCCGAGGCUCAACCUCGGGCCUGCAGUGGGUACGGGCAGACUAGAGUGCGGUAGGGGAGAUUGGAAUUCCUGGUGUAGCGGUGGAAUGCGCAGAUAUCAGGAGGAACACCGAUGGCGAAGGCAGAUCUCUGGGCCGUAACUGACGCUGAGGAGCGAAAGGGUGGGGAGCAAACAGGCUUAGAUACCCUGGUAGUCCACCCCGUAAACGUUGGGAACUAGUUGUGGGGACCAUUCCACGGUUUCCGUGACGCAGCUAAACCGCCCAAUUUAA
RNAcentral lists this ribosomal RNA (852 nucleotides) under Microbacterium sp. Its description in RNAcentral is "bacterial SSU rRNA". It matches the Rfam family "Bacterial small subunit ribosomal RNA", at positions 1 to 863 of the family's 1533-position model. The record is from RNAcentral. Lineage: Bacteria; Bacillati; Actinomycetota; Actinomycetes; Micrococcales; Microbacteriaceae.